Molecule: non-coding RNA, 224 nt
Organism: Cyanistes caeruleus (blue tit)
Lineage: Eukaryota; Metazoa; Chordata; Aves; Passeriformes; Paridae
Source: RefSeq, a predicted model, not a curated record
UGCUAUGAUGUGCAUGUUCUUCAUUUUAGGAAAUUAAAAACAACCCUGUUAAUUUAAUCACUGAAGAAGAUUUAAAACAGGCUUCUUGUUUAGAGAACUCAUACGCUAAUAAAAAAGACAAAAAGGAUGAAAGAAGAAAGAAAGCAACAGAGGGCAGUGGAAGCGUGAGAGGAGGAGGUGGUGGGAAUGCCAGAGAGAUAAAGAUUAAGAAAACCAAGAAAAAA